GGUUCAGGAUGAACGCUAGCUACAGGCUUAACACAUGCAAGUCGAGGGGUAGCAGGGUAGCAAUACCGCUGACGGCCGGCGCACGGGUGAGUAACACGUAUCCAACCUUCCCAUAACUCAGGGAUAGCCUUUCGAAAGAAAGAUUAAUACCUGAUAGUACUUUUUCAAGGCAUCUUAGAAAAAGUUAAAGAUUUAUUGGUUAUGGAUGGGAUGCGUUCCAUUAGAUAGUUGGUGAGGUAACGGCUCACCAAGUCUUCGAUGGAUAGGGGUUCUGAGAGGAAGGUCCCCCACAUUGGUACUGAGACACGGACCAAACUCCUACGGGAGGCAGCAGUGAGGAAUAUUGGUCAAUGGGCGAGAGCCUGAACCAGCCAAGUAGCGUGAAGGAAUGAAGGUCCUAUGGAUUGUAAACUUCUUUUAUAGUAGAAUAAAGUGAGCCACGUGUGGUUUUUUGUAUGUAUACUAUGAAUAAGGAUCGGCUAACUCCGUGCCAGCAGCCGC
RNAcentral lists this ribosomal RNA (501 nucleotides) under uncultured bacterium. RNAcentral describes it as "bacterial SSU rRNA". It matches the Rfam family "Bacterial small subunit ribosomal RNA", at positions 21 to 518 of the family's 1533-position model. The record is from RNAcentral.